Molecule: small nuclear RNA, 104 nt
Organism: Hevea brasiliensis (rubber tree)
Lineage: Eukaryota; Viridiplantae; Streptophyta; Magnoliopsida; Malpighiales; Euphorbiaceae
Source: RefSeq, a predicted model, not a curated record
GUGGGAUUUGCCUAGGGUGUUACAAAUUGGAACGAUACAGAGAAGAUUAGCAUGGCCCCUGUGCAAGGAUGACACACACAAAUCGAGAAAUAGUCCAAAUUUUU